RNAcentral lists this ribosomal RNA (477 nucleotides) under uncultured Entrophospora. RNAcentral's name for it is "SSU rRNA". It matches the Rfam family "Eukaryotic small subunit ribosomal RNA", at positions 569 to 1044 of the family's 1831-position model. The record is from RNAcentral. Lineage: Eukaryota; Fungi; Glomeromycota; Glomeromycetes; Entrophosporales; Entrophosporaceae.
AGCAGCCGCGGUAAUUCCAGCUCCAAUAGCGUAUAUUAAAGUUGUUGCAGUUAAAAAGCUCGUAGUUGAAUUUCGGGAUUGACACAUCGGUCGUGCCUUAAGGGGUAUGAACUGGUGUAGUCAAUUUCUCACCUUCUGGAGAACCGCGAUGCCCUUAAUUGGGUGUCGCGGGGAACCAGGACCUUUACUUUGAAAAAUUAGAGUGUUUAAAGCAGGCAUUUUGCUUGAAUACAUUAGCAUGGAAUAAUAAAAUAGGACGGCAUGAUUCUAUUUUGUUGGUUUCUAGGAUCACCGUAAUGAUUAAUAGGGAUAGUUGGGGGCAUUAGUAUUCAAUUGUCAGAGGUGAAAUUCUUGGAUUUAUUGAAGACUAACUACUGCGAAAGCAUUUGCCAAGGAUGUUUUCAUUAAUCAAGAACGAAAGUUAGGGGAUCGAAGACGAUCAGAUACCGUCGUAGUCUUAACCAUAAACCUAUGCCG